This 2782-nucleotide ribosomal RNA is filed under the name Triticum aestivum (bread wheat). RNAcentral describes it as "partial small subunit ribosomal RNA". Lineage: Eukaryota; Viridiplantae; Streptophyta; Magnoliopsida; Poales; Poaceae. The record is from RNAcentral.
UCUUUGGGAUCGGGGAAAGGGCAGCCAGGGGUGUCGGAGGAUGCGGGGACGCGGAACAGAGGAGGGACGAGGGAGGUGAGGAGAGGAUGCGGCGGCGGAGGGGAAGAGGGACGAAAAGUGGAAGCAGGAGGGGACCUGUGGGAGCGGAGGCUGGAGAGGGCGUCGUGGGGUUGAGGUGAGAGCCCGGUUCGGCUCAGUGGAGGUCCGGUCGUAGGCGAGGUAGGGCGAGAAGAGGUAGACUCGCCGCCGCUCGGGUGCCUAGACCACGGGGACCUCACUUUCUUUGUUCCUCAUACGCGGCGGUCUACCUCCUCCUCUACCGCGGGUCCCUCUCACCGCCACCGCCGGGUAGACGGAUGCUGGCUCGGGCCCCUGUUUUUACCGCCACCGCCGUCCCUCGUACGCUCGUUGCUGCCACUGACCUGCGAUCCUCGACCUGCUCCACCAGGUACGGCUCCUUCUACCGCAACACACUAUUAAAUCCGCAAGAAGGAAGAAUCAUACUUGCCUAUCCAACUAAUGUUUUAUAUAAACUUCUAACGUCGUCCACGAUUUACGAACCGUUUGCCUUUAUUAAUCCAUUCGAAAUUUAAACGGAUCUCUCUCUGAUGAGAGCGUAGUAAUCCAUAGCGGGUGUUUCUAGAGCGAACCACUCCGUACGUGUGGAUACGGUGUAGCAAUGUAUGGGAUACGUGGACGGAGGAAGGAGGUCCGCGGACUUCCGAUUGCACACCUCGACUGCUCGAUUUGUUCCCCGACCUCGUCCUAACAUCCUCCCUCCAUGUGAUCCCCGACCUCGUCCUGUUGGUAACAAAGUCUAGGGUGAACUGAGUAGGGUUCACCAACGUUACAGAAGAAUACUUUCAAAAUAAAUGUGUGUAUUACUAUUCUCUGGUUAUAAAAGGUUUUCUAAUCUAAGUAUCAAAUUUCUUCCUAUGCCUUUAUACUUUUAUUCUCGAAUACAAGCAUUUUAAACAUGUUUUACAGGGAAAGGUAUUACUUGAACCAAAGAUUAGUGUGUGUACAUGACGAUGUACUAGGAUAUGCACGACAAACUUAGUUCACUAUCCUAUGACCGUAAAUAGAGGCCCAAAUAAUCCUGAAUAACCGCCCCUGAAUCUAUUAAAGAAUUAGAACGUGAACAAGAGUGGUAACUCUGACGUAUACACCAGGAAUGUAGCCUAUACGAAGACCUAGACGUCAAUAGGGUCGGAUUGACUCUAAACAAACUAAUAAGAUGAUAAAGAAAACUCAUUAUGGCUGAUUUAACCAAAUGUUACAAUGACCACCAGACUUCGAAAAUAUCUUCGUAAACACACAAAAGUUCGAAUCCUCAUUCCUCAAGUUCCUCGUUACUAGCUUAAAACACUAGACGAAGUUUACCUAGACGACGACUUUUACUAGGAAUUGAGUUAUAGAUAGAACUAGAAGUCGGGCAUGCCAAUCAUUCCGUGUAAUAAAACUGUUUUUUUAUUCCUAGGAGUUAACCAUAAUAUGUACAACAAUCCAUGUUCAUGCAACAUCCAGUUUCCUUUUUAUUUAUCUAUAUCUCUCCAUAUUUAAGUUGUUUUUUGUUAAAAAACUAUAUUUCCGAUAAGGUAAACAAUGGAUAACAUGAACGGGUACUGAUUUUGUUAAUUAUGUACCAAAAGAAAGUUUCGUAUGUACCUUAGUCACCCGGAGACACGGUGAACCGUGUUGCCAAUAUCACCACGGUUCUCUAAGUCAUAUAAGUACUUCAACACGUUUCGAAUUUUAACCAACGCCAUAGAGCGUAAACAGUUUAGAAAUAUACAACAACCACAGUAUGAAUACGGUUCUUAUAAUUCGAACAGGAUACGACACUGAUUUAUUUUCGUUACAAGUCUGAAUAGAAAACAAACGAGAUGAAUUUCUCAAGUUCCAAAUGGGUCUCCCGUUAAUAUACAAAGGAUGACGACAGAGGGCGUACUGCAGCUCUUUUAGUAACUACAAAGAUAAAAUGAAACGGUUGUAAAAACAAAAGUUUAUCAAGAUGGAGAGUUAGACUAUAAAGAUGAACGAAAACGAAUCAUUAUACUACAUAACAAAAGAUCGAGAUCCGGAUGAACACAAGUUCCAAGUCAACUAAGACAAAGAAUUCCCACAAAAAAAAUUAAUCACCGUAGUUGUACACCGUGAUUAAAGCAACACGUAACAUGAUACUAAAAAGGUUUGUUAUGGUAAUACCAUUUGUCGAUACGAUUAUUCCCAGUCCUCUUGUUAUCUCUACGAUUCUCAGUUGGAAAACCCCAAUUCCUAUAUUUGUUGUUGUCCCCAAUACUCAGGCUUCUCUCGAGCUCACCGGAGAAAACCAAGAACUUCCGGACGUGAAAGGACCACCUCAUCGUCGUCUUAUAUAAGUCUCCGAAAUUUCGAUAACGUGAAGUGCAUCAAUACUAGUUAAGAAACAAAGUCAAACUUUAUGAGGGGUGAAGGAGGAUAUACUCAUUAAGAAGACUACCUGUAAAACAGUCCGUUUAUUUGUCUUCCGUAUACAUAACAAUGCUCACUUCGGUAGGUAUGUUCAGCUCUAUAAUUAUUAGGGUAUACACCUUAAACUCUACAUCUCUUUACAAUAAUAAGAAGUCGAUUAACCAAAGAACUGGUUUACAUAACAUUUACUGCAAUAAUAACAAGUUCUAUAUGUAUUUACAACAACAAGAAGUAACAUCACCUACUAUAGGUAGGGUUAAUAACUCUACUACCUUCAUGAUGAUUCCUCAAAACAGCGACUGACUUACUUCGACGACUCCUUCGUCCC